RNAcentral lists this ribosomal RNA (1235 nucleotides) under Listeria monocytogenes. Its description in RNAcentral is "partial 23S ribosomal RNA". It matches the Rfam family "Bacterial large subunit ribosomal RNA", at positions 22 to 1251 of the family's 2925-position model. The record is from RNAcentral. Lineage: Bacteria; Bacillati; Bacillota; Bacilli; Caryophanales; Listeriaceae.
CGGUGGAUGCCUUGGCACUAGGAGCCGAAGAAGGACGGGACUAACACCGAUAUGCUUUGGGGAGCUGUACGUAAGCGUUGAUCCAGAGAUUUCCGAAUGGGGGAACCCACUAUCUUUAGUCGGAUAGUAUCCUUACGUGAAUACAUAGCGUGAGGAAGGCAGACCCAGGGAACUGAAACAUCUAAGUACCUGGAGGAAGAGAAAGAAAAAUCGAUUUCCUGAGUAGCGGCGAGCGAAACGGAAAGAGCCCAAACCAAGAAGCUUGCUUCUUGGGGUUGUAGGACACUCUAUACGGAGUUACAAAAGAAAGUUAUAAAUGAAGCGGUCUGGAAAGGCCCGCCAAAGACGGUAACAGCCCGGUAGUUGAAAUGGCUUUCCCUCCAGAGUGGAUCCUGAGUACGGCGGAACACGUGAAAUUCCGUCGGAAUCCGGGAGGACCAUCUCCCAAGGCUAAAUACUCCCUAGUGACCGAUAGUGAACCAGUACCGUGAGGGAAAGGUGAAAAGCACCCCGGAAGGGGAGUGAAACAGUUCCUGAAACCGUGUGCCUACAAGUAGUUAGAGCCCGUUAAUGGGUGAUAGCGUGCCUUUUGUAGAAUGAACCGGCGAGUUACGAUUUGUUGCAAGGUUAAGCGGAAAAAGCGGAGCCGUAGCGAAAGCGAGUCUGAAUAGGGCGCAUAAGUAACAGGUCGUAGACCCGAAACCAGGUGAUCUACCCAUGUCCAGGAUGAAGGUAAGGUAAUACUUACUGGAGGUCCGAACCCACGCACGUUGAAAAGUGCGGGGAUGAGGUGUGGGUAGCGGAGAAAUUCCAAUCGAACUUGGAGAUAGCUGGUUCUCUCCGAAAUAGCUUUAGGGCUAGCCUCGAGGUAAAGAGUCAUGGAGGUAGAGCACUGUUUGGACUAGGGGCCCUUCUCGGGUUACCGAAUUCAGAUAAACUCCGAAUGCCAUGUACUUAUACUCGGGAGUCAGACUGCGAGUGAUAAGAUCCGUAGUCGAAAGGGAAACAGCCCAGACCACCAGUUAAGGUCCCCAAAUAUAUGUUAAGUGGAAAAGGAUGUGGGGUUGCUUAGACAACCAGGAUGUUGGCUUAGAAGCAGCCACCAUUGAAAGAGUGCGUAAUAGCUCACUGGUCGAGUGACCCCGCGCCGAAAAUGUACCGGGGCUAAACAUAUUACCGAAACUGUGGAUGAACCUCUUUAGAGGUUCGUGGUAGGAGAGCGUUCUAAGGGCGGU